Molecule: ribosomal RNA, 997 nt
Filed under: uncultured bacterium
Lineage: Bacteria
Description: bacterial SSU rRNA
Rfam family: Bacterial small subunit ribosomal RNA
Source: RNAcentral
GGGGGAUAUUGCACAAUGGGGGAAACCCUGAUGCAGCGACGCCGCGUGGAGGAAGAAGGUUUUCGGAUUGUAAACUCCUGUCGUUAGGGACGAUAAUGACGGUACCUAACAAGAAAGCACCGGCUAACUACGUGCCAGCAGCCGCGGUAAAACGUAGGGUGCAAGCGUUGUCCGGAAUUACUGGGUGUAAAGGGAGCGCAGGCGGGAAGACAAGUUGGAAGUGAAAACCAUGGGCUCAACCCAUGAAUUGCUUUCAAAACUGUUUUUCUUGAGUAGUGCAGAGGUAGAUGGAAUUCCCGGUGUAGCGGUGGAAUGCGUAGAUAUCGGGAGGAACACCAGUGGCGAAGGCGGUCUACUGGGCAUCAACUGACGCUGAGGCUCGAAAGCAUGGGUAGCAAACAGGAUUAGAUACCCUGGUAGUCCAUGCCGUAAACGAUGAUUACUAGGUGUUGGGGGAUUGACCCCCUCAGUGCCGCAGUUAACACAAUAAGUAAUCCACCUGGGGAGUACGACCGCAAGGUUGAAACUCAAAGGAAUUGACGGGGGCCCGCACAAGCAGUGGAGUAUGUGGUUUAAUUCGAAGCAACGCGAAGAACCUUACCAGGUCUUGACAUCCGAUGCAUAGCACAGAGAUGUGUGAAAUCCUUCGGGACAUCGAGACAGGUGGUGCAUGGUUGUCGUCAGCUCGUGUCGUGAGAUGUUGGGUUAAGUCCCGCAACGAGCGCAACCCUUAUUGCCAGUUACUACGUUAAGAGGACUCUGGCGAGACUGCCGUUGACAAAACGGAGGAAGGUGGGGAUGACGUCAAAUCAUCAUGCCCUUUAUGACCUGGGCUACACACGUACUACAAUGGCGUUAAACAAAGAGAAGCAAGACCGCGAGGUGGAGCAAAACUCAAAAACAACGUCUCAGUUCAGAUUGCAGGCUGCAACUCGCCUGCAUGAAGUCGGAAUUGCUAGUAAUCGCGGAUCAGCAUGCCGCGGUGAAUACGUUCCCG